This 415-nucleotide long non-coding RNA is filed under the name Theobroma cacao (cacao). RNAcentral's name for it is "long non-coding RNA (TCAC_LNC002869)". The record is from RNAcentral. Lineage: Eukaryota; Viridiplantae; Streptophyta; Magnoliopsida; Malvales; Malvaceae.
AAAAAUCUCUCUACCUACCUCUUGCUGGCCUGCCACCCCAUGGCUGGAUCUGAUCAAAGAGCGUCAGAUCCAACCAGUCAGAUCUCACGCAUGCGCUCUAAGGGAGCACAGAUCGGUGCCCCCGGAUGCGUGGCCAAAUCACACUCCCCGUGGAAAGACGCUGUCAGAUUUGAUAUUUCACGAUCAGAUCCGAUUGUGGGGUGGCCAGUCGAUGUGAGGGAGCGUUAUUGGGCAGCUGGUGCGAAAGAAAAUAGUAUAAAAAAGGGACAAAGAAAAAGGGUACGUUAGACAUUUUAUAUUUAUCUGUUAAUGCCGUUCAUACAUUUAGAACGGACUGUAUAUUUCGAAAAUUAAUGACUUGUAUGGAAUUAUAUGCAAAACUCAAGCAAGUUAAUGUAUUUUACCCUUAAAUUUU